RNAcentral lists this ribosomal RNA (442 nucleotides) under uncultured bacterium. RNAcentral describes it as "bacterial SSU rRNA". It matches the Rfam family "Bacterial small subunit ribosomal RNA", at positions 29 to 506 of the family's 1533-position model. The record is from RNAcentral.
AUGAACGCUGGCGGCGUGUCUAAGGCAUGCAAGUCGAACGACUAAAAGUGGCAAACGGGUGCGUAAGACAGUGGUAAUCUACCUCGAAGACGAGGACAACCGUUGGAAACGACGGCUAAUACUCGAUGGUCAUGGGGGGUCACAAGACAUUCCCAUGUAAAGAAUUUCGCUUCGAGAGGAACCUUUGGCCCAUCAGGUAGUUGGCGGAGUAAUAGCCCACCAAGCCUACGACGGGUAGCAGGUGUGAGAGCACGACCUGCCUCACUGGGACUGAGACACUGCCCAGACACCUACGGGUGGCUGCAGUCGAGAAUCUUCCCCAAUGGACGAAAGUCUGAGGGAGCGACGCCGCGUGUAGGAAGAAGGCCUUCGGGUCGUAAACUACUUUUCUGCGGGAAAAACUAGCGAUGGUACUGCAGGAAUAAGGGGCUGCUAACUCUGU